GCUGUAUCUCGAGGUCGGCUCUGGCGUGCAAGUGCAAGCUGGCCAGCCAGAAAACCUGCAGACAGAUGCAGCUAACAAAGGCAAAAUAAGUAUAUAUAAUCUCGCUAUCAGGUUGCCGCUACCCUGCGUGCACUGAUCUCUAGAUUCUUCAUCUCCUCGGACCACAUGAACAUACAUAUAUAUGACCUUUAGCUGGGGACGUCCUGGUGAGCUGAAUCCAUGGGUUGAUAC
This 231-nucleotide long non-coding RNA is filed under the name Hordeum vulgare. RNAcentral's name for it is "long non-coding RNA (HVUL_LNC019938)". The record is from RNAcentral. Lineage: Eukaryota; Viridiplantae; Streptophyta; Magnoliopsida; Poales; Poaceae.